CAGGUGGCCUUGGCUGCCGAGGGCAGGCUGCCUCUUGCGUGUGCAGCCCGAAAUUGCAGCUUGGCACUAGGAGACAGGGUUUGGAGAAGCAGCCAGACACGCACAGAGCGUUAGAGAAGUUGGGAGAGGGUGUCGAUCCUGGGCAUCCUAAGCGGCGGUGAAUACUUUAGUACCCCAGGAUUUGGAGGAGGGAGAGACGAGUGCCCAUGUGUCUGCGUCCUCGGUGGCUUUCUGCCAUGGCUGUGGCUGCUAGGAAGCAAGGAUAAUUCAAGAAGCGUGGGAAGAGUGGACAGAAGUUUAAAAAGCCUCUGAUGUCUCUGCUAGCCCGGCUUUCCCCUCUGCACAGCGACCACUGAGAGGGAGCCAUGUCUUCCCUCUACCAGCCACUGCUGCAGCAGCAGCAAUGAGAAAGCACCUACAGAGGAGAUGAGCACAGACCUCUCAAAGCAAAGCUGCCCCCAGGCAAAUCCAGAUGAGCUUUGGGAUGCAGAGCAGGAUGACAAGGUGUGGGGCAGUAACUGACAGAAAGGUCUUAUUUUGGUGGAAGAGUAACCAAAGAAUCAACUCAUGGGACAUACACAGCACCCUGCAUGCAGUUGCACAUGCUUUCUGCAGUGGGAGUCUGAGCCUGAGGUCUUGCAAAGCCGGACAGGAGGUCCAGAUAUGGGCUGAGGCACUGGGUGCUGAGGGCAGCCAUCAGCCCCAGCUCAGCUGCAGGCAGCUCUGAAGCAUAUUGACACUGAGCCCUGAUGUCCGAAGGCUUCUCCACUCACCAAAGGUCUCCACCCACCAAAGAGGACACCCUGGGGAACUGCUCUCCAGAUUUUCCCCACUGGCAGAGUAUCCACACCAAAGCAGAGCUGCAAAGCCUCCAUAUCCCACCCCCUGAAAAUAUGCUGCUGCUUCUCUAUAUCUCCUGAGUCUGUAAACCUUGUCAGGGGAUAGCCUUUACACUCCAGAUUUAAGGCGAUGCUGUGACUAUAAAUACUGUGCUUUGAAUAAAACAGUUGUGAAUACUA
Pseudopipra pipra is the source of this 1019-nucleotide long non-coding RNA. RefSeq lists it as uncharacterized. Lineage: Eukaryota; Metazoa; Chordata; Aves; Passeriformes; Pipridae. The transcript has 2 exons. The record is from RefSeq and is a predicted model, not a curated record.